RNAcentral lists this ribosomal RNA (253 nucleotides) under uncultured bacterium. Its description in RNAcentral is "partial 16S ribosomal RNA". It matches the Rfam family "Bacterial small subunit ribosomal RNA", at positions 524 to 776 of the family's 1533-position model. The record is from RNAcentral.
UACAGAGGGGGCAAGCGUUGUUCGGAAUUACUGGGCGUAAAGGGCUCGUAGGCGGCCAACUAAGUCAGACGUGAAAUCCCUCGGCUUAACCGGGGAACUGCAUCUGAUACUGGAUGGCUUGAGUUCGGGAGAGGGAUGUGGAAUUCCAGGUGUAGCGGUGAAAUGCGUAGAUAUCUGGAGGAACACCGGUGGCGAAGGCGGCAUCCUGGACCGACACUGACGCUGAGGAGCGAAAGCCAGGGGAGCAAACGGG